UACGUAGGGGGCAAGCGUUGUCCGGAAUUAUUGGGCGUAAAGAGCGCGUAGGCGGUCCGGUAAGUCGGUUGUGAAAGUCGGGGGCUCAACCCUCGGAUGCCGAUCGAUACUGUCGGGCUAGAGUCCGGAAGAGGAGAGUGGAAUUCCUGGUGUAGCGGUGAAAUGCGCAGAUAUCAGGAAGAACACCCGUGGCGAAGGCGGCUCUCUGGGACGGUACUGACGCUGAGACGCGAAAGCGUGGGGAGCGAACAGG
This 253-nucleotide ribosomal RNA is filed under the name uncultured bacterium. RNAcentral's name for it is "partial 16S ribosomal RNA". It matches the Rfam family "Bacterial small subunit ribosomal RNA", at positions 524 to 776 of the family's 1533-position model. The record is from RNAcentral.